GAUGAACGCUGGCGGCGUGCCUAAUACAUGCAAGUCGAGCGAACGGACGAGAAGCUUGCUUUUCUGAUGUUAGCGGCGGACGGGUGAGUAACACGUGGAUAACCUACCUAUAAGACUGGGAUAACUUCGGGAAACCGGAGCUAAUACCGGAUAAUAUUUUGAACCGCAUGGUUCAAAAGUGAAAGACGGUCUUGCUGUCACUUAUAGAUGGAUCCGCGCUGCAUUAGCUAGUUGGUAAGGUAACGGCUUACCAAGGCAACGAUGCAUAGCCGACCUGAGAGGGUGAUCGGCCACACUGGAACUGAGACACGGUCCAGACUCCUACGGGAGGCAGAAGUAGGGAAUCUUCCGAAAUGGGCGAAAGCCUGACGGAGAAACGCCGCGUGAGGGAUGAAGGUCUUCGGAUCGUAAAACUCUGUUAUUAGGGAAGAACAUAUGUGUAAGUAACUGUGCAAAUCUUGACGGUACCUAAUCAGAAAGCCACGGCUAACUACGUG
Molecule: ribosomal RNA, 497 nt
Filed under: uncultured bacterium
Lineage: Bacteria
Description: partial 16S ribosomal RNA
Rfam family: Bacterial small subunit ribosomal RNA
Source: RNAcentral